GAUGGCAUCAACAGGAAGUUCGCACAGGCCACUGCAUCUCUUCCUUUUACAGGAAAUUUGGAAGUGGGACAGCUUACUCAGUGUAGAUGAUUCAUAUCUUUAUGUCCUACUUUGAAGUGGUUUACCACACCGUGGUCACAACUCCGGAAGUGUCAGAUGAUCAUCAGACAUCACUCCUGCCUAGCAAAGAAAUACAAACAUCCUUACCAUCAAGAAGGCUAGGCGGGGUAGUUACUAAAGGGAUUAUUUCAUCAGCUCCUGAAAUGCAAAACCUCCUGUGGCAAGAGAGGAAAGGCAGUCUUGUGACUGCGGCUCUGACCUGAAGGACAUGCUGUCUCCAAGUAUGAUUUCAUUCAGGUAGUGGGAGCAAGAGCUGCAGUAAAACACAAAAAGAUUUGCCUUAGGCAGACAGGUGAGCUCAGUUUUUUCUCUCUUUCUUCCUGACUUUGUGAUCACACUAUGCACAUAAUCAGACUGUCUGCCUGCUCCAAACAGAACAUUCCUUUAUGG
Molecule: long non-coding RNA, 510 nt
Filed under: Calidris pygmaea (Spoon-billed sandpiper)
Lineage: Eukaryota; Metazoa; Chordata; Aves; Charadriiformes; Scolopacidae
Description: lncRNA (ENSCPGG00000019106.1)
Source: RNAcentral